GGCUUUGAAAUCAGUCAGACCUCAAUUUCGAUUCUAAUUCCUAAAUUUACUGUCUGUUUUGCUUUAAAAUGUUACUAAAACUCUGAGUGUUUCCUCAUCUAUGAAUGGCCACGUGGAUUCUCCCAGCCAGGAAAGGAGGAUGAAGACGUUGCCAGAUGGGAAAAUAACCCAAGUAAAGACCUGGAAGAACAAAGCUGUUUGGACAGCUAGGGAACCCCAAUUUACAGCAAGAUGUCCCUCAUGCCAGCAUCUUUUCCUUUACUCUGUCAUCAUCAUCAUGGUAAAAUGUAAAGAAAAGAAACAAUAUAUUCUGAGCACCGUGGGUGAGAAGAUAUUUAAAGUCUAUUCUUGUUCUGUUGCAAGCAGAAUUGAAUAUUUUGGAAGGAUAUUAUUGAUUGCUCCCAGAAUCUCCAGGGAAGGUUGAUGAAAGAUUGAGAGAGAAUGUUCAAAAUCAAUCUGCACAACAGAUCUGUCUGUGGAAGACACCACUGUGCCCCCAAUGUGCCCAGCACUGGUGUUGGACCUUGACCCAGGACCACUGCUAGUCCCAGCAAUACUAGCUUCCUGAAGUUCCUACUGCCUCAGAGUGAAUUCUUAACAAAGUCAGUGACCGGGGAUAUUCCACAUCAGUGGCAAAAGAGGCUGGGAAAACAAGUGUCUAGUAUUUUCAACUACUAUUGUUGACACAACAUGCGGCCCAAGAUUUCCAGAUCUCCUUUGCUCUGAAAACCCAGGGAUGAGAAUACUUCCUCACAAGACCCCACCUCCGGCUGCAGGCAAGACCAGCCACCCCAUGACCUUCAAUCACUGUGUCCUGUGACUUCAGAAACAAAUUCCGUCAUGUCUCCAACACCAGCUCUCCUGUAUCACCAUGAGGUGUCCAAGUUUCCCACAUCACCCAGUUUCACGCAGGAAUGAAGGAGCAUGUCUAUAACCAACUUCUGGGAAGCAAAUAAGCAGAGAGAGAAGAAAGAUCAGAGGCCUUGAUGGUCUAGGAAAUGAAUACGUAGUAUCUCAACAAUAUAUUGU
Long non-coding RNA from Equus caballus (horse), 1029 nucleotides. NCBI's taxonomy places the organism in Eukaryota, Metazoa, Chordata, Mammalia, Perissodactyla, Equidae. The record is from Ensembl.